CAGCAGUCGCCGCGGUAAUACGUAGGGUGCGAGCGUUAAUCGGAAUUACUGGGCGUAAAGCGUGCGCAGGCGGUUAUAUAAGACAGAUGUGAAAUCCCCGGGCUCAACCUGGGACCUGCAUUUGUGACUGUAUAGCUAGAGUACGGUAGAGGGGGAUGGAAUUCCGCGUGUAGCAGUGAAAUGCGUAGAUAUGCGGAGGAACACCGAUGGCGAAGGCAAUCCCCUGGACCCGUACUGACGCUCAUGCACGAAAGCGUGGGGAGCAAACAGGAUUAGAGACCCCAGUAGUCCCUGUCUCUUAUAC
RNAcentral lists this ribosomal RNA (304 nucleotides) under uncultured bacterium. RNAcentral describes it as "partial 16S ribosomal RNA". It matches the Rfam family "Bacterial small subunit ribosomal RNA", at positions 509 to 807 of the family's 1533-position model. The record is from RNAcentral.